Molecule: microRNA precursor, 203 nt
Filed under: Oryza nivara
Lineage: Eukaryota; Viridiplantae; Streptophyta; Magnoliopsida; Poales; Poaceae
Description: MIR812 microRNA precursor family
Rfam family: MIR812 microRNA precursor family
Source: Rfam by way of RNAcentral
AAUACAAGAGAUUAUGAGUUUUCGUUUGCAAUAUUUGACCACUUGUCUUAUUUAAAAAAUUUUGAAAUUAUUAUUUAUUUUAUUUGUGACUUACUUUAUUAUAUACAGUACUUUACGCACAACUUUUCAUUUUUUAUAUUUAAAAAAAAAUUAAAUAAGACGAGUGGUCAAACGUUACAAGCAAAAACUCAAAAUCCCUUAUA